RNAcentral lists this transfer RNA (70 nucleotides) under Marmota monax (woodchuck). RNAcentral's name for it is "tRNA.Ala". It matches the Rfam family "tRNA". Rfam says of the family: Transfer RNA (tRNA) molecules are approximately 80 nucleotides in length. Their secondary structure includes four short double-helical elements and three loops (D, anti-codon, and T loops). The record is from RNAcentral. Lineage: Eukaryota; Metazoa; Chordata; Mammalia; Rodentia; Sciuridae.
GGGCUGUAGCUCAGGGUAGAGCGCUUACCUAGCACAUGGGAGGCUCUGGGUUCAAUCCCCAGCAGCACCU